This 37-nucleotide transfer RNA is filed under the name Archelaphe bella (Bella rat snake). Its description in RNAcentral is "partial tRNA-Trp". The record is from RNAcentral. Lineage: Eukaryota; Metazoa; Chordata; Lepidosauria; Squamata; Colubridae.
GAACUUAAGUUAUACAAACUAGGACCUUUAAAAAGCC